AGGAGCAGUGGGAGUGGCUACGAUGAGAAAGACAUUGGAUUGACAGGGAUAAACCGCCCAUAUCUCAAAGGAGAUGAAUUGAUGCUCCCGAUUGGACUACAAUCACUCCAUUAAAAGGAGGAAACAUUUGACCAAUCACACCUUUCACAUUGUGAAUGUCACAUGUGUGGUAUGUGUUAUCUUUGAAUAGUGAUUUAGAGCCACACAUUGAACUACGCGACCCUUUCAAUGGCGAUUUUAACUGAGACUGAGUGCCCAUGUUCACCAUAGAAGCCAACCCCAAAACCUUUCCCGGGAGUUUGAGCGUUUGAUCGGGAGUGUACCGUGUAAUUACAGUCUGUUCCCACUCAAUGAUGAUUUAUCCCAUCACUCAAGGAAGACACCUCAUAAUGGCUAACAUCAGGGGUACCCUUGUGUCUUAUCAUAAACGGGGUAUGAAAAGGUGGUUCUCAGCCCUGGUGACGAAGGCUGCUGAAGCUACAGGACUACCUGUGUCUGUAGUUAAGGAUGGCCAUGGUUAACCCCAGCUUCACCCCGGACGAGAUGUUGGACAAUAGAAGCAGCCGGUUCAAAGUUUACCAAGGGGCCUGUCGCGUGCUACAGGAGCCCAAGCCUUCAGAGGUGUGUGUGCGUAUGUGUGCAUGUGUGUGUAUGUAUUUGUUUGCACAAACAGGUGCCUUCCCAACUUUGUAUGUACGCAUUAUGUGUGUACUUCCAUGUGUGUUUAUGUCUGUACUUCCAUGCGUGUUUAUGUGUAUUCCUAUACAGUGCCUUCGGACCCCUUGACUUUUUCCACAUUUUGUUACGUUACAGCCUUAUUCUAAAAUAUAUUAAAUUGUUUUUCUUCUUCAUCAAUCUACACAGAAUACCCCAUAAUGACAAAGCAAAAACAAAGCAAAAACGGAAAAAAUUCAUUAAAAAUCAAAGACAGAAAUAGAACAUUUACA
Salmo salar (Atlantic salmon) is the source of this 947-nucleotide long non-coding RNA. RefSeq lists it as uncharacterized. The record is from RefSeq and is a predicted model, not a curated record. Lineage: Eukaryota; Metazoa; Chordata; Actinopteri; Salmoniformes; Salmonidae.